This 243-nucleotide long non-coding RNA is filed under the name Panax ginseng (ginseng). RNAcentral's name for it is "long non-coding RNA (PGIN_LNC001843)". Lineage: Eukaryota; Viridiplantae; Streptophyta; Magnoliopsida; Apiales; Araliaceae. The record is from RNAcentral.
GUAUUUAUAAAUUAGGGUUCCUAAUCAAGAAAUUAGGGUUUUCUAAAUUUGAAAUUAGGGUUUACUAAUUAAUUAAGCUUUACCCUAAUUAAUAUUAUAAUUAAUAGCACUUAAGCAAUAUAAUAAUCCUUUAAGUUCCCAGAUUAGGGUUUCAUACAUCGAAUUAGGGUUUCGAAUUCCCGGAACUGAAAUUAGGGUUUCCAGAACCGUUUUCUAGGGUUUCUUGUUAAUCGUUAGGGUUUU